CGCCUGCCUAAGAGUUUGAUAAGACAUCUUGGCAUCACAGCCGCCUGUUGGAAUAACCCUGAGACCUCAGUUUCACUCUCUGUGAAACCUGGUCAAAGAUCUUGCUCAAGGUGUGGCAAAGAGUAAUCAAUAACUAAUGGCUGGGGCUGACUUUUGUUCUCCUGGUCAUAAAAGACCUUUGAAUUGCUUGGCCACUUUGGGUUUCUCAGGAAAAGUGAUAACACUAAGCCAAAGUUCAUCCCAGUUGGCCAGGCUGCCUCUCUCCAGCACCCACAAGGCUGGAGGGAGAGAGGGAAUGACCACCGUCCCAUGAGUGUUGGGCUGGGUUCACUGGGGUUAGGGUCACCAAGGGUAGGAGCCAUUUCCCCAUUGACCCACCUAUGCAUCACACCACAGAAAUAUCCCGGUGCUCUGUUUAUCUCCCACCCCUCCCCCGACACAGCGGAAGGACGUAAGUUUUCACGCAUAGUGGACAGAGGACUUAGACCGAAUGAGAUGUUGGUUGGCCUCAUCUCCCCAAGCUGUCUAGAAGCUGCUUAAGGGCAGGCCCCACAACUGGUUGGUUCAUCUCUAUGUCCGCAGUGCAAAACGUCGCAUCUCUUAAGGCAAUUAGUGUCUGUCCGAAUUCUUGGGGAAGCUGAGGAAACCAGGGCUGUGACUGUAAUAUUCUGCUGUACCUAUGAUCUGUGCCCAUGAUGCUCUGCUGUAUCCAUGAUGCUGUGCCCAUGAUGCCAUGUCAUGCUCUCUGUACCUUGCCAUGCCUGUGACACUAUGCCCUCUCCCUGGGAUUCUGCAGUCUUCCUGGCUGCUCUAGAAGCCAGGGAGAUUCCACCCCAUGUAAAAUGCUCCUGGGGUGGCCUGCUGACCUGGAUUCUCCUCUCAACAUCUUGAGCCCAACCACCUCUGCUGUCAAACUACACAUGGCCCAGGUGACUUCUCUCACAAAUGGGAGAGGGAAUCAGAGCAUUUCAUAGUCAGAGCAGAGGCCCUGGGGAGAUGCCCAUCUGCAGCAGACUUGGGACAACUGAUCCAAUUCAAGUCCAUCAUUGUGCAGAGUGGGAUUGUGAGCCUCAGAGUGGAGAGAAGAUUCAUCCAACUGUGGGUUCGGUGCCAGCCAGAGUGGGACUCCACCCUGACUCCCAGUUCAGAGCUCAUUUUGGUGGGGGGUCCUGAAGUUCUACCAUCAUAGUUACCCCUUGCUUGGGUCUCCAAAAUGUCCCUGUUCCAAUGUAUAUCUGUUACUUAAAUAACACAUUUGCAACAUAGCUAUCAGAGGGGUUGGUUUUUAUUUAGAAAGAAGCUAAUAAGUUAUAUUUUAUUUAUUAUAAAGACA
Molecule: long non-coding RNA, 1333 nt
Filed under: Homo sapiens (human)
Lineage: Eukaryota; Metazoa; Chordata; Mammalia; Primates; Hominidae
Description: HSALNT0330209
Source: RNAcentral